Molecule: ribosomal RNA, 106 nt
Filed under: Terriglobia bacterium
Lineage: Bacteria; Pseudomonadati; Acidobacteriota; Terriglobia
Description: partial 23S ribosomal RNA
Rfam family: Bacterial large subunit ribosomal RNA
Source: RNAcentral
UAUAGCUAAGAAGGGCACUGGAAGACGACCAGUUUGAUAGGGCGGAUGUGUAAGCGUGGUGACACGUUGAGCUUACCGCUACUAAUUGCCCAUUCGGCUUGACCAU